RNAcentral lists this long non-coding RNA (837 nucleotides) under Dromaius novaehollandiae (emu). RNAcentral describes it as "lncRNA (ENSDNVG00000017445.1)". The record is from RNAcentral. Lineage: Eukaryota; Metazoa; Chordata; Aves; Casuariiformes; Dromaiidae.
CCACCAUCUCGGGACUCCUUGGUCUGACCUACCGUGGAUAUUCCUGCAGACCCUGCGGGAGGGGACAGGGACAAGCGAGACACCUCAGAAAGCAAGGGUGAAUUGCAGCACGUAGAUAAGCUCCAAAUUCCCAUCUGUGUUGUACUUAAGUUCCCCUGCAAGUCUACAAGGGCUAUUGAAGUUGUAUCCCACAGGAAGAGGAUCAGGUUCAAGAGAAGCAACACUGUAAAAAAAGAAGAUAGAUAUACCUCUGUGUGGAAAUGACAGACUUACAACAAGCACCUUUUCCAGGACCAGGAUCAGACACACACCCACAGUAAGCCUGAACCUCUGAUGGGGGAGUAGCAACAGUCAUAUGGUCAGGAUCUGGAAGGCAAAGAACAUGAAGAAAUCUCUUGUAAAUAAAGACAACARUAAAAGUGCUAUGAGAGCACCAGAACUGUUAAUGCCCCUCCAAAGUUGGCUUCUGCUCCCCGUGCUCCUCAAGGUGAGCAAUAUUUAGCCUAAGGAAGCUUUUCUCCUUCUGAAGUGAGAAAACCUGAGAGUUUCAAGACUGCCUAAGCUAUCUGGAUACCCCCCUCCCGAUGGUUUUCUAAGUUAGUCAAAAGGCCUUUCUAAAAAGGCAGCCCUCUCAUCUUCAAGUGCUGCCGCAUGGAGCAUAGGGCUUAGGCAUCUCUUCCACCCCGCCCCAAGAUGUACACAGACCUGCUGCACGGCCGCGGUCGGGGUUCAGACGCCCGGCAGCAAGGCGGCGGGGGCAGCAAAUAGAGCGGGGGCGGCCCGGGCGCGCCGUGAGGCGACGCGGCAGCGGCGCAGGGUGCCGGGCGGGGGGCAGUG